GAGUUUGAUCCUGGCUCAGGAUGAACGCUGGCGGCGUGCCUAACACAUGCAAGUCGAACGGGGUAUAUAAGCGGAAGUUUACGGAUGGAAGGUUAUAUACUUAGUGGCGGACGGGUGAGUAACGCGUGGGCAACCUGCCCCGUGCCGGGGGAUACCGCCUGGAAACAGGCGCUAAUACCGCAUAAGCGCAUACAGCCGCAUGGGUGUAUGCGGAAAGCUCCGGCGGCACGGGAUGGGCCCGCGCCCGAUUAGCCAGUUGGCGGGGUAACGGCCCACCAAAGCGACGAUCGGUAGCCGGCCUGAGAGGGCGGACGGCCACAUUGGGACUGAGACACGGCCCAAACUCCUACGGGAGGCAGCAGUGGGGAAUAUUGCACAAUGGGGGAAACCCUGAUGCAGCAACGCCGCGUGGGUGAAGGAGCGUUUCGGCGCGUAAAGCCCUGUCAGCGGGGAAGAAGAAAGACGGUACCCGGCCAAGAAGCCCCGGCUAACUACGUGCCAGCAGCCGCGGUAAUACGUAGGGGGCAAGCGUUAUCCGGAUUUACUGGGUGUAAAGGGAGCGUAGACGGCAUAGCAAGUCUGAAGUGAAAGCCCGUGGCUCAACCGCGGAACUGCUUUGGAAACUGUUAAGCU
RNAcentral lists this ribosomal RNA (633 nucleotides) under uncultured bacterium. RNAcentral describes it as "bacterial SSU rRNA". It matches the Rfam family "Bacterial small subunit ribosomal RNA", at positions 9 to 642 of the family's 1533-position model. The record is from RNAcentral.